Molecule: ribosomal RNA, 768 nt
Filed under: uncultured bacterium
Lineage: Bacteria
Description: bacterial SSU rRNA
Rfam family: Bacterial small subunit ribosomal RNA
Source: RNAcentral
GACGAACGCUGGCGGCGUGCCUAAUACAUGCAAGUCGAGCGAAGUUUUUCUGGUGCUUGCACUAGAAAAACUUAGCGGCGAACGGGUGAGUAACACGUAAAGAACCUGCCUCAUAGACUGGGACAACUAUUGGAAACGAUAGCUAAUACCGGAUAACAGCAUUAACUGCAUGGUCGAUGUUUAAAAGUUGGUUUUGCUAACACUAUGAGAUGGCUUUGCGGUGCAUUAGCUAGUUGGUGGGGUAAAGGCCUACCAAGGCGACGAUGCAUAGCCGACCUGAGAGGGUGAUCGGCCACACUGGGACUGAGACACGGCCCAGACUCCUACGGGAGGCAGCAGUAGGGAAUCUUCCGCAAUGGGCGAAAGCCUGACGGAGCAACGCCGCGUGAGUGAAGAAGGAUUUCGGCUCGUAAAGCUCUGUUGUUAGGGAAGAAUGAUUGUGUAGUAACUAUACACAGUAGAGACGGUACCUAACCAGAAAGCCACGGCUAACUACGUGCCAGCAGCCGCGGUAAUACGUAGGUGGCAAGCGUUGUCCGGAAUUAUUGGGCGUAAAGCGCGCGCAGGUGGUUUAAUAAGUCUGAUGUGAAAGCCCACGGCUCAACCGUGGAGGGUCAUUGGAAACUGUUAAACUUGAGUGCAGGAGAGAAAAGUGGAAUUCCUAGUGUAGCGGUGAAAUGCGUAGAGAUUAGGAGGAACACCAGUGGCGAAGGCGGCUUUUUGGCCUGUAACUGACACUGAGGCGCGAAAGCGUGGGGAGCAAACAGG